Molecule: ribosomal RNA, 859 nt
Filed under: uncultured bacterium
Lineage: Bacteria
Description: bacterial SSU rRNA
Rfam family: Bacterial small subunit ribosomal RNA
Source: RNAcentral
AGAGUUUGAUCAUGGCUCAGGAUGAACGCUGGCGGUGUGCCUUAGGCAUGCAAGUCGAACGGCUUUGUAGCAAUACAAAGCAGUGGCAGACGGGUGAGUAACACGUAGGAAUGUACCUGGAAAUGGGGGAUAGCUCGCCGAAAGGCGGGGUAAUACCGCAUGUGGUCGCAAGAUCAAAGACGCAAGUCGUUUCCAGAGCAGCCUGCGCGCUAUCAGUUAGUUGGUGAGGUAACGGCUCACCAAGACUACGACGGCUAGCCGAUGUGAGAGCAUGAUCGGCCACAAAGUUACUGAGACACGGAACUUACACCUACGGGUGGCAGCAACCGGGAAUAUUGCGCAAUGGACGAAAGUCUGACGCAGCGACACCGCGUGUGGGAAGACGCUUUUCGGAGUGUAAACCACUGUGGCGAGGGAGAAAGAUCUGAUAGUACCUCGCUAGAAAGCACCAGCUAACCACGUGCCAGAAGCUUCGGUAAUACGUGGGGUGCAAGCGUUAUCCGGAUUUACUGGGCGUAAAGGGUCUGUCGGCGUUCUUUUACGUCUCUUGUUCAAUCCCAGGGCUCAACUCUGGAUCGGCAAGGGAAACGGGAAGAAUAGAGUGUGUUCGAGGAAACUAGAAUUCUCGGUGGAGGGGUGAAAUCCGUAGAUAUCGAGAGGAAUACCAUGCGCGAAGGCAGGUUUCUAGGACAUUACUGACGCUCAGAGACGAAAGCUUGGGGAGCAAAUGGGAUUAGAGACCCCAGUAGUCCAAGCCGUAAACAUUCCUUGCUAGUUGUUUCACUCUUGAAGUGGGAUGACGUAAGCUAACGCGUUAAGCAAGGCGCCUGGGGAGUACGACCGCAAGGUUAAAACUCAA